AUUGAACGCUGGCGGCAGGCUUAACACAUGCAAGUCGAGCGGAAACGAUGUAUCUUGCUGCAGGCGUCGAGCGGCGGACGGGUGAGUAACGCGUAGGAAUCUGCCUAGUAGUGGGGGACAACAUGUGGAAACGCAUGCUAAUACCGCAUACGCCCUACGGGGGAAAGGAGGGGAUCUUCGGACCUUUCGCUAUUAGAUGAGCCUGCGUAAGAUUAGCUAGUUGGUAGGGUAAAGGCCUACCAAGGCGACGAUCUUUAACUGGUCUGAGAGGAUGGCCAGUCACACUGGGACUGAGACACGGCCCAGACUCCUACGGAAGGCAGCAGUGGGGAAUAUUGGACAAUGGGCGCAAGCCUGAUCCAGCCAUGCCGCGUGUGUGAAGAAGGCCUUAGGGUUGUAAAGCACUUUAAGGGGUGAGGAAGGGUGUUUGGUUAAUAUCCAAACAUUUUGACGUUAGCCCCAGAAGAAGCACCGGCUAACUCUGUG
RNAcentral lists this ribosomal RNA (486 nucleotides) under uncultured bacterium. Its description in RNAcentral is "partial 16S ribosomal RNA". It matches the Rfam family "Bacterial small subunit ribosomal RNA", at positions 30 to 507 of the family's 1533-position model. The record is from RNAcentral.